This is a long non-coding RNA of Chroicocephalus ridibundus (black-headed gull), 1548 nucleotides long. RefSeq lists it as uncharacterized. NCBI's taxonomy places the organism in Eukaryota, Metazoa, Chordata, Aves, Charadriiformes, Laridae. The record is from RefSeq and is a predicted model, not a curated record. The transcript is spliced from 7 exons.
CAAAAAGCAAGGAAAUAACUUAGAUUUUCCAGUAAAAGCAGGAGAUUAAAGAGAUUUUUAAAGGAAAUCCUUUGCUGCUAAACUCACAGAGCACCUUGAGCGGUCUUUGAACUGAGGAAUUGGGCAUUUUAAGUUUCAGAGUAAAUAAGUGAGUGAAGUGGAGAGAACUGGCCACAUAAACCCCGGAUUAAAAAAUUUUGUUGAGGAAACUAAAUGAGAGAGGGAGUAAUUGUGUGCCUACCAAAAUACAACGUGUUAUUAUGCAUCAAAGCUUUGGGACUGGGCAAUAUGGGAAAAUGUUAACAGAACAGUAUCUUACUUCUGAGGUGCUGAUCCAGAACAUUCCCUGAUACGGUAGAGAAAAUACAUGUGGAGUAGCUGAAAAUAGCAUCAGAGUAUUCCUGCCAGUUCUGCAUUCUCAGCAAUCUAUGACAGUGCCUUGACUUCAGGGGAGCUGUUACCUCACUAGAGGCAUCAAACAGUUUCCUGUGACAAGAACUCCCCUGCAUCAUGGGACAAAAGUCAUCAUAUUUCAUAAGGUCUGGCUAUCAAUGCUGGAACACCACAGGCCAGCAGCCUCUUCUAGAUGACUCUGGAACCAAGCACUGACUCAAUUUACUGGAGAAAUGUUUUCUACAGAGGACUGGCUAAUUCACUGCAGCAAUGCAACCUGCUCUUACUGUUUUCAGGCAUGUCACAACUACGGGGAGAGCAAUGGUAAGAGAUGAGCAGGUCACUGCACUUCUUCUGUCACUUCUUACAUUGUACCCCAAGUCCAGCUCUGAUUCACUUUCUUCAUAUGUAUGAAUAAGCAAAGGGAAAGCAUUGGCUCAGGUUGAGGGGUGUCUUUCCCCUUAACUCAGAACUGUCUCUGGGUACACUUAGUUUUAGCUGUACUGAUGAUUUUAAAGAGAUAUUUACAGUCAUCCUUUAAAAGGCCUGGUCAAAUUAAUUUUUUAUUCAACUGAAACUUGUCCCAGACAGCUUGCUUUCUUUGCAACAAAUUCCACAAGCAUUAAAAUGUUAUAUUUUUCAGUAAGGAAUCAAUUUAGUGCAGAGCACGCAUUAUGCAAACACACUGGCAGCCAAUACAGCACUGUAUGCAGCCAAGGGAAGAUCAGAAAGGCUAUUUCAGAAAAAGCAAUGAAUCUCAGGACCUUCUAUCUAGCAUUGAGAUUUGCAAUAUAAGUUGACUUACCUUGAAGAGACAGGGGUGAACUCCAGGAAAGCUGAAGCAAAUUAGUAAAAGGCCAAUGCGUCCCUAAUCCAUUUUUUGAUGAAAUGGCUUAUCAGUAUCUCAACAACAAUUGUAGUGGUGUUUAGGAUUUUUUCCGCUUUUUAAAUCACGUAGCAGUGAUUUGUGUCUCUUAAUGAUCUAAAAAUGGCUUGCCCUUAAUGAUUAUGACUGUUGCCUGUGGAAUUCUGCAGUGGUCCAGUUUCAGCCUACACACAAAGGGAGAUGCACUCCAAAUUGAUCCUGCAUCAUUUCAGAACUGCUAACGAGGUGAUUAAUAAAGACUUCCAGAGAACCUGAAAGUAUUUUGAAUA